CAGGUAGUGCAGGAGUCAGUGGGAUGUUGAUGUUGAUAUCAGGUAGUGUUGGAGUCAGUGAGAUGUUGAUAUCAGGUAGUGUAUGAGUGAGUGGGAUGUUGAUAUCAGGUAGUGUUAGAGUCAGUGAGUUGUUGAUAUCAGGUAGUGUUGGAGUCAGUGGGAUGUUGAUAUCAGGUAGUGUAGGAGUCAGUGAGAUCUUGAUAUCAGGUAGUGUAGAAGUCAGUGAGAUGUUGAUUUCAGGUAGUGUAGGAGUCUGUGGGCUGUUGAUGUUGAUAUCAGGUAGUGUAGGAGUCAGUGCGAUACCAUGUUGAUAUCAGUUGGUGUAGGAGUCAGUGGGAUGUUGAUAUCAGGUGAUAUAGGAGUCAGUGGGAUGUUGAUAUCAGGUAGUGUAGGAGUCAGUGGGAUGUUGAUAUCAGGUAGUGUAGGAGUCAGUGAGAUGUUG
Molecule: long non-coding RNA, 442 nt
Filed under: Salmo salar (Atlantic salmon)
Lineage: Eukaryota; Metazoa; Chordata; Actinopteri; Salmoniformes; Salmonidae
Description: lncRNA (ENSSSAG00000102531.1)
Source: RNAcentral